Long non-coding RNA from Oncorhynchus tshawytscha (Chinook salmon), 769 nucleotides. RefSeq lists it as uncharacterized. The record is from RefSeq and is a predicted model, not a curated record. The transcript is spliced from 3 exons. NCBI's taxonomy places the organism in Eukaryota, Metazoa, Chordata, Actinopteri, Salmoniformes, Salmonidae.
CUGUCUGAGUGUUCCUGGUAAUGUUCUCCUGCUGUCUGUGUUCCUGGUAAUGUUCUCCUGCUGUCUGAGUGUUCCUGGUAAUGUUCUCCUGAUGUCUGAGUGUUCCUGGUAAUGUUCUCCUGCUGUCUGAGUGUUCCUGGUAAUGUUCUCCUGCUGUCUGAGUGUUCCUGGUAAUGUUCUCCUGCUGUCUGAGUGUUCCUGGUAAUGUUCUCCUGCUGUCUGAGUGUUCCUGGUAAUGUUCUCCUGCUGUCUGAGUGUUCCUGAGGACCAUUAAUCAGUUUGGAUCUAAACCAGAUGUCUCUCUGAUUUCUUUCAGAGUGUUCCUGAAGGCCAUUAAUCAAUUUGGAUCUAAACCAGAUGUCUCUCUGAUUUCUUUCAGAGUGUUCCUGAGGGCCAUUAAUCAGUUUGGAUCUAAACCAGAUGUCUCUCUGAUUUCUUUCAGAGUGUUCCUGAGGGCCAUUAAUCAGUUUGGAUCUAAACCAGAUGUCUCUCUGAUUUCUUUCAGAGUGUUCCUGAGGGCCAUUAAUCAGUAUGCAGCCGUGUUAAACAAGAAGUUCCUGGAUCAGACCAACUUUGAGCUUCAGCUGUGGAACAACUACUUCCACCUCGCCGUGGCAUAUCUUACCCAGGAGUCCUUGCAGCUUGAGAACUUCUCCAGCGACAAACGAUCCAAGAUCUUCCAGAAGUACCAGGACAUGAGGAGACAGAUCGGCUUUGAGAUCAGAGACAUGUGGUAUAAUCUAGGUAUGAAUCAUCUAUUUCGUGUUCU